GAUGAACGCUGGCGGCGUGCUUAACACAUGCAAGUCGAACGAAGCACUUAUCAUUGAGACCUCCGGGUUGACAUGGUUUGUGACUGAGUGGCGGACGGGUGAGUAACGCGUGGGUAACCUGCCUUGUACAGGGGGAUAACAGUUAGAAAUGACUGCUAAUACCGCAUAAGCGCACGGUGUCGCAUGACACAGUGUGAAAAACUCCGGUGGUACAAGAUGGACCCGCGUCUGAUUAGCUAGUUGGUGAGGUAACGGCUCACCAAGGCGACGAUCAGUAGCCGACUUGAGAGAGUGAUCGGCCACAUUGGGACUGAGACACGGCCCAAAACUCCUACGGGGAGGCAGCAGUGGGAAUAUUGCACAAUGGGGGAAACCCUGAUGCAGCGACGCCGCGUGAGUGAAGAAGUAUUUCGGUAUGUAAAGCUCUAUCAGCAGGGAAGAAAAUGACGGUACCUGACUAAGAAG
This 465-nucleotide ribosomal RNA is filed under the name uncultured bacterium. RNAcentral's name for it is "bacterial SSU rRNA". It matches the Rfam family "Bacterial small subunit ribosomal RNA", at positions 28 to 490 of the family's 1533-position model. The record is from RNAcentral.